AGAAUCAACGCUGGCGGCGUGCCUCAGACAUGCAAGUCGAACGCGAAAGUCCCCUUCGGGGGAUAAGUAGAGUGGCGCACGGGCGAGUAACACGUAGGUAAUCUACCUUCGGGUGGGGAAUAACCCAGGGAAACUUGGGCUAACACCGCAUAAUGCAGCGGCACCACAUGGUGACAGUUGUUAAAGCGGGGGAUUUUAGGACCUCGCGCCUGAAGAGGAGCCUGCGGCAGAUUAGCUAGUUGGUAAGGUAACGGCUUACCAAGGCGACGAUCU
This 273-nucleotide ribosomal RNA is filed under the name uncultured soil bacterium. RNAcentral's name for it is "partial 16S ribosomal RNA". It matches the Rfam family "Bacterial small subunit ribosomal RNA", at positions 26 to 282 of the family's 1533-position model. The record is from RNAcentral.